RNAcentral lists this ribosomal RNA (465 nucleotides) under uncultured bacterium. Its description in RNAcentral is "partial 16S ribosomal RNA". It matches the Rfam family "Bacterial small subunit ribosomal RNA", at positions 28 to 507 of the family's 1533-position model. The record is from RNAcentral.
GACGAACGCUGGCGGCGUGCUUAACACAUGCAAGUCGAACGGAAAGGCCCCUUUGGGGGUACUCGAGUGGCGAACGGGUGAGUAACACGUGAGUAACCUGCCCUUGACUUCGGGAUAACUUCAGGAAACUGGGGCUAAUACCGGAUAGGAAUCCUUGCUGCAUGGUGGGGGUUGGAAAGCUUCGGCGGUUUUGGAUGGACUCGCGGCUUAUCAGCUUGUUGGUGGGGUAGUGGCUUACCAAGGCUUUGACGGGUAGCCGUCCUGAGAGGGCGACCGGCCACAUUGGGACUGAGAUACGGCCCAGACUCCUACGGGAGGCAGCAGGGGGGAAUAUUGCACAAUGGGCGGAAGCCUGAUGCAGCAACGCCGCGUGCGGGAUGACGGCCUUCGGGUUGUAAACCGCUUUCAGCAGGGGCGAAGCUUGUGGUGACGGUACCUGCAGAAGAAGCACCGGCUAACUACGUG